CGAACGCUGGUGCGUGUUUAUACGAGUGACAAAGUCGAGCGAGGACUGUAGCAAUACAGAGCCGAGCGGCGAACGGGUGAGUAACGCGUAAGCAAUCUGCCCCGCAAUCGGGAAUAACUGUUCCAACGGACAGCUAAUGCCGGAUAUCGUGGCCCUUCGCCUGGAGGGUUGACGAAAGAUUUAUUGUUGCGGGAUGAGCUUGCGUCCGAUUAGCUAGUUGGCGGGUAACGGCCCACCAAGGCGACGAUCGGUAUCCGGCCUGAGAGGGUGAUCGGACACAUUGGGACUGAGAUACGGCCCAGACUCCUACGGGAGGCAGCAGUAGGGAAUAUUGCGCAAUGGGGGAAACCCUGACGCAGCAACGCCACGUGUGGGAAGAAGCAUUUCGGUGUGUAAACCACUGUCGAGAGGGAAAAACCGGCGGCUUCGGCCGCCCUGAUGGUACCUCUAAAGGAAGCACCGGCAAACUUCGUGCCAGCAGCGGCGGUAAUCUGAUGGCG
Molecule: ribosomal RNA, 500 nt
Filed under: uncultured bacterium
Lineage: Bacteria
Description: bacterial SSU rRNA
Rfam family: Bacterial small subunit ribosomal RNA
Source: RNAcentral